GAAAAGAACCCCGGGAGGGGAGUGAAAUAGAACCUGAAACCCUGUGCUUACAAGCUGUGGGAGCACUUUAUAUGUGUGACCGCGUACUUUUUGUAGAACGGGCCAACGAGUUACGACAGUAAGCAAGGUUAAGUACUUAAGGUAUGGAGCCGUAGUGAAAGCGAGUCUUAAAUGGGCGUUAAGUUUUCUGUCGUAGACCCGAAACCGGGCGACCUACCCAUGAGCAGGAUGAAGCGAAAGUAAAAUUUCGUGGAGGUCCGAACCCACGAGCGUUGAAAAGCUCGGGGAUGACUUGUGGGUAGCGGUGAAAUUCCAAUCGAGCCCGGAGAUAGCUGGUUCUCCCCGAAAUAGCUUUAGGGCUAGCCUCAAGGUUGAGAAAUACGGAGGUAGAGCACUGAAUAUCCUAGGGGGCAUUGCGCUUACCGAAGAUUAUCAAACUCCGAAUGCCGUUAUUUUAUACUUGGGAGUCAGACUGUGGGUAAUAAGAUUCAUAGUCGAGAGGGCAACAGCCCAGAUCGUCAGCUAAGGUCCCUAAAUGUAAGUUAAGUGGUAAAGGAUGUGGGAUUGCAUAGACAACCAGGAUGUUGGCUUAGAAGCAGCCACUCAUUUAAAGAGUGCGUAAUAGCUCACUGGUCGAGUGAUCCUGCGCCGAAGAUUACCGGGGCUAAAACUUACUACCGAAGCUACGAUAUCAUUUAUGAUAGGUAGGGGAGCUUCCUAUGCAGGCUGAAGCAUGACCGUAAGGACAUGUGGACAGUAUAGGAGUGAGAAUGUUGGCAUGAGUAGCGAGACGUGGGUGAGAA
This 803-nucleotide ribosomal RNA is filed under the name Paraclostridium sordellii 8483. Its description in RNAcentral is "Paeniclostridium sordellii 8483 partial 23S ribosomal RNA". It matches the Rfam family "Bacterial large subunit ribosomal RNA", at positions 516 to 1327 of the family's 2925-position model. The record is from RNAcentral. Lineage: Bacteria; Bacillati; Bacillota; Clostridia; Peptostreptococcales; Peptostreptococcaceae.